UUAGAAAGUGGGAUAGCUUCUUCAUCCUAACUCCUAUGAGAUUUAUUCAACUUUCUGGUGAAUUUUCACUACUUUAUGUAUCAAAAUAAAGCUUCUUACACCGCGAUUCAUCCUGGUUUGAAUAGAAUGACGAAGAAGUUGUCAUAUUCCCAAACAAGAAAACUGGGAUCACCUGAUUUGAAAGUGGGAUAGCUUCUUCAUACUAACUCCUAUGAGAUUUAUUCAUUUUCCUGGUGAUUCUCCACUACUUUAUGUAUCAAAAGCAAGCUUCUUAC
This 275-nucleotide long non-coding RNA is filed under the name Brassica napus (rape). RNAcentral's name for it is "long non-coding RNA (BNAP_LNC019470)". Lineage: Eukaryota; Viridiplantae; Streptophyta; Magnoliopsida; Brassicales; Brassicaceae. The record is from RNAcentral.